UACAGAGGUCUCAAGCGUUGUUCGGAUUCAUUGGGCGUAAAGGGUGCGCAGGCGGCGGGGCAAGUCGGACGUGAAAUCCCGGGGCUUAACCCCGGAACUGCGUUCGAUACUGCCUUGCUCGAGGACUGGAGAGGAGACUGGAAUUCCUGGUGUAGCAGUGAAAUGCGUAGAUAUCAGGAGGAACGCCAAUGGCGAAGGCAAGUCUCUGGACAGUUCCUGACGCUCAUGCGCGAAGGCCAGGGGAGCAAACGGG
This 253-nucleotide ribosomal RNA is filed under the name uncultured bacterium. Its description in RNAcentral is "partial 16S ribosomal RNA". It matches the Rfam family "Bacterial small subunit ribosomal RNA", at positions 524 to 776 of the family's 1533-position model. The record is from RNAcentral.